This is a non-coding RNA of Kogia breviceps (pygmy sperm whale), 384 nucleotides long. The record is from RefSeq and is a predicted model, not a curated record. Lineage: Eukaryota; Metazoa; Chordata; Mammalia; Artiodactyla; Physeteridae.
CUGGGGCUGGGGACAGGGAGCGGGGACUGAAAAAUCUUAGUUCUUAAAUAAUCAGGGCCACGCAAAGGGAAAGGGGAGGCAUAUGAAAGUAGCUGCAUAAUCAGAUAGAUAAUCCACUUUUCUCCAAUUGUCUGGCUCUUUUAGACAGCUGCAUCUGGGGGUAUAUUUCGAAGGGGGGGGGGAUGACUAGCAAGUAUGAGCCAGAUGAGACCUCUGGGGUGACCUGGAAUUACAGAGGCCACUCAUUUUCGGAAUAGGGUUAUGAAAACUGUGAUAUUGUAGAGAUGAAAAGGACCUAUGAAGACCACCUGAUCUGUCAACUUUCUCAAAAGACCACACCUACAUGUAGACAAGUAGAGGACGUGGGUUUGAGCCCUGGUCCGG